GGUGACCUUAUUUAGGAUAUACGCCAUUAGGAACUAAAUGGUUAAAUCCUAUGUCUCCUUUGAAAACGAUAAUGCGAUUUAGGGUAUGAACAACUUUUAACAAAAUAUUUCUUUAUCUAGUAAGAAUAACUUAAUAAUGUGUGUUACUCAAAUGGAAAGAUAUUCAUGGAUGAAACUAUAAGAGGAACACAAAUAGAUUGUGGAGGUCUAAAAUUCGAUCAAGGAGCAUCUCUAUUAUAUCCUUAGGAUAAGAGAGCUUUGAGGGGCUCAAACAGCUUCAGAAAGAGGGCGUUAUUAUUAUUUUUGAGGUAAUACAUGGAAGCAGGUAUGCCGUACCGGCCGGUAUGGGCCGAUACGAACCGGCUCGGGAGCAAAACGGUACCGGAUCAGCGUGGGAUCCGGUACCGCAGGGUUUUUUUUUUUAAAUCGACCGGUACCCGGUAUUGGUCGGUACCGGCCCUGUACUGGUGAUGUACCGGUGCGAACCGGCUGGUUCGCACUGGUACGUAGUUUUUUUUUUAACAGCACAACGCCGUGCACUGUGGUUUAAAAAAACGACAGCGUCGCGCGCGGUGGUUCAAAAAAAGAAGUGGUCGUUGGCCAUAGUAAAGUUUUGAAAAUUAAAAGAAGUGGCCGAUGAUGGCCACUUCUUUUAAAUUUGUUGUGGCCGAAGGGCCAUGCGCUGUGGCCCUUUCGGCCACAGUUGGUCAAAGCGCGUGGCCUUUCGGCCACGUGCUGGUGGUUUUGUCACCGAAACGGCGACAGACUAUUUAAAAAAAAAAAGAAGCGACAUGGUGAAAAACUAUCACUCUCGUUCGGCUAUAAAAAUCGAACGAGAGUGAUGCUAUUCAACAUAGAUGAAGUGGCUCCGAGUCUCUGAGGGGUAAUUAGAGAAGGGUAGAUUUGAGAGAGCCUACAAAUUGAGGAGCGGGUCUUUCUCAAAAAAUCAAGCGGAGACUAUUUAAGGUAUGAUUUCUUUCUCCUAUUUAAUUUCUUUAAUUUUGUUAAUAAGUAGCUUAAAAAAAAUAGUUUAGAAAUUGCCAAAAAAAAGAUCAUGCCAAAAUUUAAUAUUUUGGCUUAAUUUUUUGAUAUAUUGUAGAUUUAUGGUAGGAAUGGAGCUAUCAAGGAAAACCAACCCCACAAAGCAUGAUAUUGGCUAGUCUUAUGGGCGAAGAGUCAGGGAGCAACACCAGUUUCAGUGUAACUUUUGCAACAAAGUCUUCAAGGAAGGAGGGGUAACCAGGUUGAAGCAAUACUUAGCCGAAAAUUUCGGUGAGGUUGCUACAUGCCCGAAUUGCCUAGGCGAGAUCCUUGUGCUGUUGAGACAGAACCUCAUUGAGGUCAAAGAAGUGAAGGAGAGGAUUUUCAAGAAGAGGGCGGAGGUGGAUCGCCGAGCGGCAGAGCCAUCUUCCUAUCACUCUAGGGAGCCAGAGGAGGUUGAGGAUCUAGAUGUGGCAGAGAUCCAGGCUGCCAUGCAGGCAAGCUUGGAGGAUCAGUGGCAGCAGGAGGUGGCCAAGCAUAGGGCUCGAUUUGGGCCCUCUGCCUACGAGUCGAGCGGCGGUUCUGGGAGCACCAGGCAAGAUCCAGAGUUCUUGAGGACAACCUCAGUUAGGGAGGGCGUCGGCAGAGAACGUGGCCGGAUUACAUCUAUGUUGAAUGGUUUUGGUAGCCGAAAGAAGUCAUCUCGAGGGAUUCCACCAGGAGUGACAAUCCAUGAUGUAGAUCCGCAUGCUCUCUCCAGCAAAGAUUCAAGGCAGCAGAUGAUGGACUCAAUGUGGAUGAAGGAUAAGAAGAAAAAUAUGUGACGAGCUAUUGGAUUCUUGUUCUACUUCAGCCACAUCCCAGCGAAUGUGGCAGACAAUACAUACUACAGGUCUGCCAUUUCUGCCAUACAAGCUGCCGAUCCUGGUGUAGUUCCUCCAGGCCCGAAGGACAUCUUCGGUGAGAUUCUUGACAACAAUAAGAAGCUGGAGAAAUGGAUUGACUCCUACAAGGGCAAGUAUCGAUCUCAUGCUGAUGGACAUUGAAAAGAUCCGUAGGAUGCAGCAAACAGUGGAGGCAGCCCAACGCAUCACCAGGUAUAUUUAUAACCAUACUUGGGUCCUUUCACUGAUGAGAAAGUAUGCAGGAGAGAUUGAGAUCAGGAGUCACACGGUUUGCUACCAACUUCAUUGUACUUGAUAGCAUUCUCGAUAAGAAAGGAGCCCUACGUCAGAUGUUUGUCAGUCCCGAGUGGCAUGAUAGUAGAUAUUCUUAUGUCGGCAGUGAAGGAAACAAGAUAGAAGACUUUGUGACGAGAUAGUCAUUCUGGCAGCGGGCCACUUCAAUAGUCAAUGCUAUCAAAUCAUUAUAUGAAGUGCUGUGGGCCGUAGAUACCGAGAUCUAUCCCCAGAUGGGGUUUCUGUACCACAUGACGGAAAAGGCAAAGACUCAGAUUAUGGAGGCACAUCCAGCCCAUGGCCAGUCGUGCAUCAACAUCAUUGAACGAUGAUGGAGAGCGCAAAUGGGUACGGAAUUGCAUCUAGCAGGUAAGCAAGAUCAUUGAAAAUUAUAGUGAUGGAUGUACUUGUAUAAUUAUGCUAAGAUAGUCUCAUAUAUGUGCAGCGUACUACCUAAACCUCCGAUUUCAGUACAACGUAGAUGGAAUUGGUAUGGAUGACACACUUCUAGAGGGUUUGCAUAAUGUCAUUUACAAGAUGGAGCAUGAUCUAGAAACCGCGGUCUUAUGUGUUGAAGAGGUAACUAUGAUUUAGUAAUUAGCAGCAUGUGUAAGUAUACCGGCAUCUGCAAUGAUUAACAUCGUAGAACAUGCUUCUUUUUCACAGAACAAAAUAUUUAGAGAGGGCACCUACAGUUUUGGACAACCGGCUGUCGUCAGCUAGCAGACUAUGAAUCCAGCUGAAUGGUGGGUGCAUUUCGGCAGAUCCGCGAGAAAUCUAAAGCUGAUAGCUAUCCGGAUCCUCUCCCGAACGGUCUCCUCUAGUGGCUGUGAGCGCAACUGGUCCACCUUUGCCCUCAUCUACAGCAAACAGAGAAAUCAUUUGACACAAAAGCGCCCCAACGACCUUGUUUAUGUGCAUUACAAUCUGCGGUUGAGGCUAAAGAGCAUUCAGGAGGAAGUGGAGCUUAAGUAUGCAGAUCCGAUCUAUAGGACCUUCACUGAUGAUGACGAUGAUCCACUGCUCAACUGGCUUGUGAGCCAGCAGCAAGAGCCCGAGCUUGACGAGCCAGGAUCGUCUCUAUGACCAGCCAGCUUCAUAGCCACCGAGGCUAGGGUCGAUCUAGAGCAAUGGGCGGAGCACAAUAUUCCACACACUUUCAGAGCUGAUUAGCUGCAGGCACAAGGGAGCCAGUCACCACAUGAUUGGUACGAGACACCCUCGACACCCUCUCAGAGAGCUGAUCGAGAGAUGCUCAGCAGAGGAGGGCGACAUAGCCAAGCAGAGGGAUAGAAAAGAAAAACAAAAGGUCUUAAUGGAGAGUGUCGAGGAGACUUCGACCAGCAGCGAUGAAGGUUCUGGUGGUGAUGGAUCUUCUAGCCAUCAAGAAAGCGGAGGACCGUAUGAUACUUAUGAGACAGCCGGAGGGUUGUCUUCAUUUCACCGGUGAGUUCCAAUUUAUCCAUGUUACACAGGAUACGGACCACGGUCGACCAUCUGAUAGAGUUCGUGAGCAUAUCAUUAAAUAUAGAAGACGGGCUUCUUGAGGUGGCUCAGGAAGACAGGAUACAGCUACAGAUGAGCUCAUAUACGGAUACAGAUUCUAUUAUCUAGAGCCUUAAUCUUACGAAUAUGGAUAUGGUACAUCGGAUUUUGCUUCCGCCAUAUUUGGAUGGGCCUCUACA
Phoenix dactylifera (date palm) is the source of this 3844-nucleotide non-coding RNA. The record is from RefSeq and is a predicted model, not a curated record. NCBI's taxonomy places the organism in Eukaryota, Viridiplantae, Streptophyta, Magnoliopsida, Arecales, Arecaceae.